This 901-nucleotide ribosomal RNA is filed under the name Escherichia coli. RNAcentral describes it as "partial 23S ribosomal RNA". It matches the Rfam family "Bacterial large subunit ribosomal RNA", at positions 1 to 935 of the family's 2925-position model. The record is from RNAcentral. Lineage: Bacteria; Pseudomonadati; Pseudomonadota; Gammaproteobacteria; Enterobacterales; Enterobacteriaceae.
GGGUUGUGAGGUUAAGUGACUAAGCGUACACGGUGGAUGCCCUGGCAGUCAGAGGCGAUGAAGGACGUGCUAAUCUGCGAUAAGCGUCGGUAAGGUGAUAUGAACCGUUAUAACCGGCGAUUUCCGAAUGGGGAAACCCAGUGUGAUUCGUCACACUAUCAUUAACUGAAUCCAUAGGUUAAUGAGGCGAACCGGGGGAACUGAAACAUCUAAGUACCCCGAGGAAAAGAAAUCAACCGAGAUUCCCCCAGUAGCGGCGAGCGAACGGGGAGCAGCCCAGAGCCUGAAUCAGUGUGUGUGUUAGUGGAAGCGUCUGGAAAGGCGCGCGAUACAGGGUGACAGCCCCGUACACAAAAAUGCACAUACUGUGAGCUCGAUGAGUAGGGCGGGACACGUGGUAUCCUGUCUGAAUAUGGGGGGACCAUCCUCCAAGGCUAAAUACUCCUGACUGACCGAUAGUGAACCAGUACCGUGAGGGAAAGGCGAAAAGAACCCCGGCGAGGGGAGUGAAAAAGAACCUGAAACCGUGUACGUACAAGCAGUGGGAGCCUCUUUAUGGGGUGACUGCGUACCUUUUGUAUAAUGGGUCAGCGACUUAUAUUCUGUAGCAAGGUUAACCGAAUAGGGGAGCCGAAGGGAAACCGAGUCUUAACUGGGCGUUAAGUUGCAGGGUAUAGACCCGAAACCCGGUGAUCUAGCCAUGGGCAGGUUGAAGGUUGGGUAACACUAACUGGAGGACCGAACCGACUAAUGUUGAAAAAUUAGCGGAUGACUUGUGGCUGGGGGUGAAAGGCCAAUCAAACCGGGAGAUAGCUGGUUCUCCCCGAAAGCUAUUUAGGUAGCGCCUCGUGAAUUCAUCUCCGGGGGUAGAGCACUGUUUCGGCAAGGGGGUCAUCCCGAC